GCUUGGCAGGUCACCUGUGCCACCAAGAGGCCCCGAGACCAGUCAUUGCAAGAACCGGCCACCAGAUCCAGAUCUGGGCACCGCCACUGCCACAGACAGAGUGCCCGAACCAUCCAUUGAGGGAGUCCUGGAUUAGGGGGUAUCCGGACAGCCGGACUGUGUAUAACAUCCGGACUAUUGAAGCGUGAAGAUACAAGACUCAAGACUUCGGCCCAUGUCCGAAUGGGACUCUCCUUUGCGUGGAAGGCAAGCUUGGCGAUCCGGAUAUUAUAUUCCCUUCCUUGUAACUGACUCCAUGUAAACCCUAGCCUUCUCCAGUGUCUAUAUAAACCGGAGAGGUUGGUCCUUAGAAGGACAAUCACAAUUACAUUCAUACCAUCAUAGGCUAGCUCUUAGGGUUUAGCCUCUACGAUCUCGUGGUAGAUCUACUCUUGUACUACCCAUAUCAUCAAUAUUAAUCAAGCAGGAAGUAGGGUUUUACCUCCAUCGAGAGGGCCCGAACCUGGGUAAACAUCUGUGUCCCUUGCUUCCUGUUACCAUCGGCCUUGACGCACAGAUCGGGACCCCCUACCCGAGAUCCGCCGGUUUUGACACCGACAUUGGUGCUUUCAUUGAGAGUUCCUCUGUGACCGUCGCUGUCAGGCUCGCUGGCUCCUUCAAUCAUCAUCAAUGACACUGUUCAGGGUGAGACUUUUCUCCCAGGACAGAUCUUCGUGUUCGGCGGCUUCGCACUGUGGGCCAACUCGCUUGGCCAUCUGGAGCAGAUCGACAGCUACACCCCUGGCUACCAGAUCAGGUUCGGAAACCUGAACUACACGGUGGACAUCCACGGAGACUUGAUCUUCGAUGGAUUUGGGCCUAUGCCUGUAGCACCGAACAGUCACGACGAGCAUGGCUUAGACCUGCCGUCGGACGAAGCUCGGGGUAUCACCCCCGUAGUAUCCCCGGACCUAAAUUCGGAGCAGACCGCGCUGCCUAAGGACGGAGGGAUGGACCCCGCCCCGCAGGUCACGCACUCAUCGGCGAUGGAGCCGAACACGGUACUUACCUCUGUGGUGACCUGUGACUCCGGACCCCUGGAUUCGUAUCCGGACAAGGUUUCCAGUCCGCGCACUCCCGAGCCAGCCGAGCCAGGUUGGGCUCCGGUAAUGGAGUCCACCGCUGCGGAUAUCUUCCAGCACUCUGAUACGUCUCCGUCGUAUCUACUUUUCCAAACACUUUUGCCCUUGUUUUGGACCCUAACUUGUAUGAUUUGAAUGGAACUAACCCGGACUGACGCUGUUUUCAGCAGAAUUGCCAUGAUGUUGUUUUAUGUGCAGAAAACAAAAGUUCUCGGAAUGACCUGAAACUCCACGGGAUGUCUUAUAAAAAAUAAUAAAAAAUCCUCGCCAAAGAUGAAGACCAGGGGGCCCACACCCUGUCCACGAGGGUUGGGGGCGCCCCCCCCCUAGGGCGCGCCCCCCUACCUCGUGGGCCCCCCUGGAGACCCUCCGACGCCAACUCCAACUCCAUAUAUUGGAUUUUGGGGAGAAAAAAUCAGAGAGAAAGUUUCAUCCCGUUUUAUGAUAUGGAGCCGCCGCCAAGCCCUAAUCUCUCUCGGGAGGGCUGAUCUGGAGUCCGUUCGGGGCUCCGGAGAGGGGGAUUCGUCGCCGUCGUCAUCAUCAACCAUCCUCCAUCACCAAUUUCAUGAUGCUCACCGCCGUGUGUGAGUAAUUCCAUCGUAGGCUUGCUGGACGGUGAUGGGUUGAAUGAGAUUUAUCAUGUAAUCGAGUUAGUUUUGUUAGGGUUUGAUCCCUAGUAUCCACUAUGUUCUGAGAUUGAUGUUUCUAUGACUUUUCUAUGCUUAAUGCUUGUCACUAGGGCCCGAGUGCCAUGAUUUCAGAUCUGAACCUAUUAUGUUUUCAUGAAUAUAUGUGAGUUCUUGAUCCUAUCUUGCAAGUCUAUAGUCACCUAUUAUGUGUUAUGAUCCGACAACCCCGAAGUGACAAUAAUCGGGAUACUUCUCGGUGAUGACCAUAGUUUGAGGAGUUCAUGUAUUCACUAUGUGCUAAUGCUUUGUUCGGGAUCUCUAUUAAAAGGAGGCCUUAAUAUCCCUUAGUUUCCAAUAGGACCCCGCUGCCACGGGAGGGUAGGACAAAAGAUGUCAUGCAAGUUCUUUUCCAUAAGCAUGUAUGACUAUAUUCGGAAUACAUGCCUAUAUUACAUUGAUGAAUUGGAGCUAGUUCUGUGUCACCCUAUGUUAUGACUGUUACAUGACGAACCGCAUCCGGCAUAAUUAUCCAUCACUGAUUCGGUGCCUACGAGUUUUCCAUAUACUGGUUUACGCUUAUUUACUUUUUCGUCGCUACUAUUACAAUCACUACAAAAAUACCAAAAACAUUACUUUUGCUGUCUUUACUUUUGUUACUGUUACCACCACUAUCAUAUUACUUUGCUACUAAACACUUUGCUGCAGAUACUAAGUUUCCAGGUGUGGUUGAAUUGACAACUCGGCUACUAAUACUUGAGAAUAUUCUUUGGCUCCCCUUGUGUCGAAUCAACAAAUUUGGGUUGAAUACUCUACCCUCGAAAACUGUUGCGAUCCCCUAUACUUGUGGGUUAUCAAGACCUUUUUCUGGCGCCGUUGCCGGGGAGCAUAGCUCUAUUCUUUGAGUCACUUGGGAUUUAUAUCAGCUGGACACUAUGAAGAACUUGAAAGACGCUAAGACAACAAUUUAUCCCUCAACUACGAGGGGAGGUAAGGAACUGCCAUCUAGCUCUGCACUUGAUUCACCUUCUGUUAUGAGUAAGCUAGCGAGACCUAAACCUGCUUCUGCGAUUCGUUCCGAUAUGUCGCAUGUUAUUGAUGAUGCCACUUCUGCUAUGCAUGAUACUUAUGAUGAAACUACUUCUAUGCUUGAUACUACUGUGCCCCUUGGUGAAUUUCUAGAUGAACAAAUUUCUAGGUCUAGAGAAAGAGAAACUAUUGAAACUGAAUACAAUGAUGAAAGUGAUGAUGAAAAUAUGCCUGCUAUUCCUGAGGGUUAUCUGUUUGAUGUUGAAUCUUCUGCAGCUAUUUUUGCUUGUAAGGAUAGAUAUGAACUUAAAAGGCUGCUAGUUAAAUAGAGUAAAGAAUCUCUUAGAGAUAGGAUGAGACCUGACCCUGCUUUUGCUACUUCACCUAUCUGUGUUCCUGAUAAGGAUUAUUAUGAAUUCUCUGUUGAUCCAGAUAUAAUUACUUUGGUUGAAUCUGAUCCUUUUUAUGGCUAUGAAUCUGAAACUGUUGUGGCACAUCUUACUAAGCUAAAUGAUAUAGCUACCCUGUUUACUAAUGAUGAGAGAUCGCGCUACUUUUAUAUACUCAAAAUAUUUCCGUUCUCAUUAAAGGGUGAUGCUAAGAUAUGGUUCAAUUCUCUUGAUCCUCGUUGUGUGCGUAGUCCCCAGGAUAUGAUUUAUUAUUUCUCUGCUAAAUAUUUCCCUGCUCAUAAGAAACAAGCUGCUUUGAGGGAAAUAUACAACUUCGUGCAAAUUAAAGAAGAGAGUCUCCCACAAGCUUGGGGGAGGCUUUUCAAGUUACUUAAUGCUUUGCCUGAUCAUCCUCUUAAGAAACCUGAAAUACUUGAUAUCUUUUAUAAUGGACUAAUCGAUGCUUCCAGAGAUUACCUGGAUAGUUGUGCUGGUUCUCUUUUCAGGGAAAGAACACCGCAUGAAGCUGAAAUUCUAUUGAAUAAUAUGUUGACAAAUAAAAAUAAUUGGGCACCUCCUGAGCCAAUUCCUAAACCAACUCCGAAGAAGAGAUGUGUUCUAUUUCUCAGUCCUGGAGAUAUGCAAGAGGCAAAGAAAUCUAUGAAAGAAAAAGGUAUUAAAGCUGAAGAUGUUAAGAAUUUACCUCCUAUUGAAGAAAUACAUGGUCUUAAUUUACCGCCUGCUGAAGAAGUAUAUGAUCUCAAUUCUUUAUUCACUGAAGAACCUCCUGAUCCCGAUAUCCCGACACAGGUAGUAAAGGUAAAUUCUCUCUAUAGAUAUGAUAAAGCUGAAGUCCCUCCUACUAAAAUUGCUAGUCAGUGCUUGGAUGAGUUUGAUAACUUUAUGUUUAAGCAAGAUGACUUUAAUGCUUAUUUUGGUAGACAAUUAAAACAAAACACCUUUAUGAUUAAACGCUUGAGUGAUUAUAUGGCUAAUAUUAGAGGUGAACUUAAACUUGUUAGCAAACAUGCUUCUAUGGUUACCACUCAAGUAGAACAAGUACUUAAAGCUUAGAAAGAAGUGCUUGAUGAAAUGAAUAGUAAGAAAAAUGAUUAUGCUGUUAGAGUGGCUACUAGAACUGGUAGAAUGACUCAGGAACCUUUGUAUCCUGAAGGCCACCCUAAGAGAAUUGAGCAAGAUUCUCAGAGAAAUAAUAUUGAUAUGCCUAGUUCUUCUAAAAGGAAGAAAAAGAAAAAUGAUAGGACUGUGCAAACUUCUAGUGAACCUAUUGCUGAACCACCUGAGAAUCCAAAUGAUAUCUCUAUGUCUGAUGCUGAAACACAAUCUGGUAAUGAACAUGAACCUAGUGAAAAUGUUAAUGAUGAUGUUCAUGAUGAUGCUCAACCUAGUAAUGAUAAUGAUGUAGAAGUUGAACCUGCUGUUGAUCUUGAUAACCCACAAUCAAAGAAUCAACGUUAUGAUAAAAGAGACUUCAUUGCUAGGAAACAUGGUAAAGAAAGGGAACCAUGGGUUCAGAAACCCAUGCCCUUUGCUGAAAUGAUUAGACCUAUCUUUUUGCGUAUGCGAUUGACUGAUAUGCUCAAAAUAAAUCCUUAUGCUAAAUAUAUGAAAGAUAUUGUUACAAAUAAAAGAAAGAUACCGAAAGCUGAAAUUUCCACCAUGCUUGCUAAUUAUACUUUUAAGGGUGGAAUAGCAAAGAAACUUGGAGAUCCAGGAGUACCUACUAUACCAUGCUCCAUUAAGAGAAAUUAUGUUAAAACUGCUUUAUGUGAUCUUGGAGCCGGUGCUAGUGUUAUGCCUCUCUCUUUAUAUCGUAGACUUGACUUGAAUAAGUUGACACCUACUGAAAUAUCUUUGCAAAUGGCUGAUAAAUCAAUUGCUAUACCUGUCGGUAUUUGUGAGGAUGUGCCUGUUGUGGUUGCAAACGUUACUAUUUUAACGGACUUUGUUAUUCUUGAUAUUUCCGAGGAUGAUAGUAUGUGUAUUAUUCUUGGAAGACCUUUCCUUAAUACUGCAGGGGCUGUUAUUGAUUACAACAAAGGCAAUGUCACUUUUCAUGUUAAUGGUAAUGAGCAUACGGUACACUUUCCGAGGAAACAACCUCAAGUUCAUAGUAUCAACUCUAUUGGAAAAAUUCCAUCGAUUAUAUUUGGAGGUUUUGAAUUUCCUCUCCCUACUGUCAAGAAGAAAUAUGAUAUACUUAUUAUUGGGGAUGUCCAUAUCCCCGUUGAGGUAACAUAGUGUUAUUCGAAACUUCUUCGGUUCCAUGAUUAUCAGAAUGAGUUUGUUAACAAGACUUGAUCAACCUUGUUAGUGGAUUCCUUUUGAUGAGCAUGAGAUGGAUGAAACUAGAAGCACAACCUUCUGUACCCUCUUCAUAUUUUCUGUUACUUAGUAGAAAUAAAGUAAAAUAGUAUUUUUCUGUCUGUUUCCUGAUUUAGCCGUGCAAUAUAAAAAUAUCCCGAAAAUAAAAGUCCUCAGAAUUCCAUGCCAAUUUUGCUGUGAUUUUUGAUCUCCUUGCUCAAAGCACCUCUCGCAAAACUGCUUGGGGAGAUUGUUCCUUGGUAUGUGACUCCUCCAUUGGUCCAAUUAGUUUUUGUUCUAGUGCUUUAUUCUUUGCAAAUUUGUGCUGCAUAGGUGACCAUGUUCUUGAGCUUGCAUGUCAAAUUUAUAUGGUUCCAAGUAGUUCUAAUGCUUGAUAUAGGCUCUAGGCACUUGUAGGAGUAGUUGCUAUCAAUUUUAUUGAAGUUGGUUCACUUUUGUUUGAAGUUACUAAAAAUUUCAGAAUUAUUUUUCAGAGAAAACAAUAUGUUUAGGAAGAUGUUCCAAGGUGGUUCUUCAAGGAAGCAAGGUCCCAGGCUUGCAAUGCGAGAUGCUAACGAGGAACCACCAAGAGACGCUCCUGUGAGGCCCUGUGAAUGGCCUUCGGAAAAUUUUAUGAAUCAAGCGGGAAUCAAAGAAGAAUUUAACGCAUAUUUGCGUAAUGCCGGUCUUGAGGACUUUGAGGCUGAUAAAUGCCCCCGGUAUCAUGAUCUCACAAGUUCAUUUGUGGGGAGGUUUGAGUUUUCAUCUUAGCGUAAUUCUCCUUCAGUCAUGUUUGACCUUUAUGACAAAUCUUAUACCAUGGACUUAGAGGAUUUUACUCUUGCGUGAAAACUUCCAUCUUGGGGUAGUAUCAGGGAUCCCCCUAAAUCUGAAUAUAGAGACUUUCUUGCUAGAAUAAUCGUGGGGGAAUCUAGAGAUAUAACGCAAGCCACUAUAGGGAGCAUUCACUUUCCUGCUAUACAUUAUUUUUCUCUCUUCAUAGGUAGAUGCAUAAAUGCUAAGGAUGAAGCAUGUCACAUGUGUGCCCCUGAUCUCAGCAUUCUCAGAAGUGCUGUGUUAGGAGACCAAUCUUAUCAUAUGGGAGCCAUUGUAGCUCGUAGGUUGCAUCAUAAUAGACAUAACAGAGAUUUCUUUGGAGAAAUUUAUGCAACCCGCUUAGCUAAUUUCCUUGAGAUAGACAUUCAUGAGGGUGAUAUGGAGUUACCCCCUACUUAUUUGGAUUUCGAUUCUAUGGUUUCGCCCCAGUUUGUUGAGAGGAAUGAUCCACCUCUCCAGUACCGACUAAUCUUUAACAAAAGGCAUGUUGUCCAUGUUACUCUUCCUGCUCCUGCCUUCUUUGAUUUUCAGACAAAACGGAGAUAUAUUAUUACCAGAGAGGAGGCAGAUGAGUACGAGAGGAGAGCGGAGGCGGCUCGACGCCACGCUGCAGCUUAGGAGGCGAUAGCCGCUGCAUCGCAGUACGACCCCAGCUACACCUAUAGGUAUCCGCCAGGCUAUCCCUGGCAAUAGACCAACUUAGGCCAAAAGCCUAAGCUUGGGGGAGUACGUACUUCCACCGACAUUACAUUCAUGUUCACACACACUCAUUGCUAGAUGUCAGUGCUCAUACUCUUUCACUGUAAUAUCCAUGCUAGUUUAUUUUCUUUUUCCUGCUUUCUUCUUGUGUGUUUAAUAAACCUUAAGAAAACCCCAAAAAAUUAGUAGUAGUUUAUUUCUCUGCCGUAGUAGUAAUAAUUAAAAAGAAAACCCAAAAAUAUUUCCCGUUCUUCUUUUGCUUGUUGGGAGCUUUCCCGUGUAAAUAGUUUUAUUUCUUUUCUUUGGGGUCAGUAGGAGAAGACCAUGAUUAAAUUGUUGAAGUGGCUCUUAUAUGCAAUAUUGUUAAUUUAACCAAGAGCCCAUAUUGCCUUGUCUUCUCCUGUUUAUUGAAUGCUCGCAGAUUCCAGCUUAGUCCAAUGCACGUGCACUCUUAUUAUUAUUCACAUUGUUCGGUCGUGCAAGUGAAAGGCAAUUAUGAUGAUAUAUGAUGGACUGACUGAGAUGGAAAAGCUGGUAUGAACUCGACCUCUUUUGUAUUUGUAAAUAUGAUGAGUCCAUCGUUCUUGAUUCAGCUGAUUAUGAAUAAACAUGUUUUCAAUGACAAUUAGAGAUCAUAGUUGCUUGUGCCAUGCUUGAUUAGCUACGAGUUAUAAUGGUUUACCUUGCGUGCCAACAUGCUAUUGAGAUGAUUAUGAUGUGGUAUGAUAGGGUGGUAUCCUCCUUUGAAUGAUUUAAGUGACUUGACUUGGCACAUGUUCACGCAUGUAGUUGAAACAAAUCAAUAUAGCCUUCACGAUAUUUAUGUUCAUGGUGGAUUAUAUCCUACUCAUGCUUGUAUUCAAUGUUCAUUAAUUUUAAUGCAUGUUCAUGACUGUUGUCACUCUCUAGUUGGUCGCUUCCCAGUCUUUUGCUAGCCUUCACUUGUACUAAGCGGGAAUACUGCUUGUGCAUCCAAUCCCUUAAACCCCAAAGUUAUUCCAUAUGAGUCCACUAUACCUUGCUAUAUGCGGUAUCUACCUGUCGUUCCAAGUAAAUUUGUAUGUGCCAAACUCUAAACCUUCAAAUAAUCAUUCUGUUUUGCAUGCUCGAGUAGCUCAUAUAUCAACUAGUGCUGCCCUUAUCUUCCGUGUUAGGCGGGUUAUUCUCAAGAGGAGUGAAGUCCGUCCUCACUCACGAGAAAAUGGUUGGUCACCCGGAUGCCCAGUCCCAUGCUUUAUGCAAACUAAAUCAAAAUAAUUGCAAACAAAACUCCCCCUGGGACCCAUUGAAUGUUGGAGGCUCUUGUUGUUUCGAGCGAGCCAUGAAUUGAUGCUUGUGGAGGAGGGGGAGUAUAAACUUUACCAUUCUGUUUGCGAACUGCCUAUAAUUUGUUUAGCAUGGAAGAUAUCGUCAUCUCUUAGUUGUUAUGUUGACAAUGAAAGUAUGCCGCUCAAAAUAUAAUUUAUCUCUAUUUCAAAACCGAGCUCUGGCACCUCUACAAAUCACUGCUUCCCUCUACGAAGGGCCUAUCUAUUUACUUUUAUGUUGAGUCAUCACCCUUUUAUUAAAAAGCACUAGCUGGAGAGCACAGCUGUCAUUUGCAUUCAUUACUGUUAAUUUAUAUCGGGUAUGACUAUGAUUGGAUCUCUUUUACCAUGAAUUACAAUGUCUAGUCAGUCCUUGAUCUUUGAAGGUGCUCUGCAUUUAUGUUUUGCAGUCUCAGAAAGGGCUAGCGAGAUACCAUCUUGUUAUAUCAUAUUAUGAUUGUUUUGAGAAAGUGUUGUCAUCCGAGAUUUAUUAUUAUGACUUGCUAGCUGAUUAUGUUAUUGAUAUGAGUAAACAUGAGACCUAGGAGUUAUUACAAAUGUGGUUAGUUAUGAUCUUUGAUGAAAACCUAAAUGCUGGCUUGACAUAGUUACAACAACAAGAGCAAACAAAGUUUGUAAAAGUUUUUAUUUUUCUCUUUCAGUUUGUCAACUGAAUUGCUUGAGGACAAGCAAGGGUUUAAGCUUGGGGGAGUUGAUACGUCUUCGUCGUAUCUACUUUUCCAAACACUUUUGCCCUUGUUUUGGACUCUAACUUGUAUGAUUUGAAUGGAACUAACCCGGACUGACGCUGUUUUCAGCAGAAUUGCCAUGAUGUUGUUUUAUGUGCAGAAAACAAAAGUUCUCGGAAUGACCUAAAACUCCACGGGAUGUCUUAUAAAAAAUAAUAAAAAAUCCUCGCCAAAGAUGAAGACCAGGGGGCCUACACCCUGUCCACGAGGGUGGGGGGCGCCCCCCCUAGGGCGCGCCCCCUACCUCGUGGGCCCCCUACCUCGUGGGCCCCCCUGGAGACCCUCCGACGCCAACUCCAACUCCAUAUAUUGGCUUUCGGGGAGAAAAAAAUCAGAGAGAAAGUUUCAUCGCGUUUUACGAUACGGAGCCGCCGCCAAGCCCUAAUCUCUCUCGGAAGGGCUGAUCUGGAGUCCGUUCGGGGCUUCGGAGAGGGGGAUUCGUCGCUGUCGUCAUCAUCAACCAUCGUCCAUCACCAAUUUCAUGAUGCUCACCGCAGUGCGUGAGUAAUUCCAUCGUAGGCUUGCUGGACGGUGAUGGGUUGGAUGAGAUUUAUCAUGUAAUUGAGUUAGUUUUGUUAGGGUUUGAUCCCUAGUAUCCACUAUGUUCUGAGAUUGAUGUUGCUAUGACUUUGCUAUGCUUAAUGCUUGUCACUAGGGCCCGAGUGCCAUGAUUUCAGAUCUGAACCUAUUAUGUUUUCAUGAAUAUAUGUGAGUUCUUGAUCCUAUCUUGCAAGUCUAUAGUCACCUAUUAUGUGUUAUGAUCCGACAACCCCGAAGUGACAAUAAUCGGGAUACUUCUCGGUGAUGACCAUAGUUUGAGGAGUUCAUGUAUUUACUAUGUGCUAAUGCUUUGUUCCGGAUCUCUAUUAAAAGGAGGCCUUAAUAUCCCUUAGUUUCCAAUAGGACCCCGCUGCCACGGGAGGGUAGGACAAAAGAUGUCAUGCAAGUUCUUUUCCAUAAGCAUGUAUGACUAUAUUCAGAAUACAUGCCUACAUUACAUUGAUGAAUUGGAGCUAGUUCUGUGUCACCCUAUGUUAUGACUGUUACAUGACGAACUGCAUCCGACAUAAUUAUCCAUCACUGAUCCGGUGCCUACGAGUUUUCCAUAUACUGGUUUACGCUUAUUUACUUUUCCGUCACUACUGUUACAAUCACUACAAAAAUACCAAAAACAUUACUUUUGUUGUCUUUACUUUUGUUACUGUUACCACCACUAUCAUAUUACUUUGCUACUAAACACUUUGCUGCAGAUACUAAGUUUCCAGGUGUGGUUGAAUUGACAACUCAGCUGCUAAUACUUGAGAAUAUUCUUUGGCUCCCCUUGUGUCGAAUCAACAAAUUUGGGUUGAAUACUCUACCCUCGAAAACUGUUGCGAUCCCCUAUACUUGUGGGUUAUCACACUCGCCCUUUGGUGACAUGCUGGACUCAUUAAACUCUCUCUCUUUGUCAGGAGGCUCGGGGCCGAACUAUGUUCGACUUGAGUGGGAAGCAGGCGAUGAAGGAGUUCGUUGCUCACCCACCACCCACUUCAUUGCCACGGUCGAUGAUUUAACCAAGGUACUGGACUUCGACUCCGAAGACAUCGACAGUAUGGACGACGAUGCAGGAGAAGAACAUGAGCCACCGCUCACUGGGUAGUGGACAACCACCUCUUCCUAUGAUAUAUAUACGGUGGAUACUCCGAAGGAAACAAAUAGCAACGAGGCAACGGAGGAUAAAACCUCAGGGAAAAAAGCAAAGAAUGGGCGUCGUGGGCGCCACUCCAAGCCCCGCCAUAGCAAUACCGGCCCAGGAGACGAAAACAAUCCGAAUGGUGCCGAAGAAGAAUACAACCCUGAUCAGCCCGCCUUCGAGCAGGCUGAACAAGAGGAUGAGCAGGUUAGCCCAGAAGAACAGGCGACGGACGAAUACCCGGAGGAGGACAGCUACAUGCCCCCUCCGAAGACGAGAUUAGCCUCGGCGACGACGAGUUCGGCGUGCCUGAGGAUCCCGUAGAGCAGGAGCGCUUCAAGCAUCGGCUUAUAGCUACUGCGAGGAGCCUGAAAAAGAAACAGCAGCAACUCCAAGCUGAUCAAGACCUGCUCACAGACAGAUGGACUGAAGUCCUGGCAGCCGAGGAAUACGAACUCGAGCACCAUACGGCUGACCGGCCACCUCAUGGCCGGGAUAAAACAACAUACCAGUCCGCAUACCAGCCAACACCCCCACGCCAACACACUACGGCCCGGGGCAACGAAACAGGACAGCCAAGAUCGAUCUACGAAUCGCGGGGGCGCGCCUCGGCACGCGACGACGACCGUCACGCCGGACACACCUUCAACAAGUCUGGCCGGGCCAAAUAUAGCCACCUAGAGCAAUUUGACCUGCCUAGCCACAUAGCCCGGCACAGAGGCACCAUGCACCCCCUUUGCUUCACUGACGAAGUAAUGGAUCAUGAAUUCCCAUAAGUGUUCAAACCCGUAAACAUCGAAUCAUACGAUGGCACAACAGACCCCGCAGUAUGGAUCGAAGAUUUUCUUCUCCACAUUCACAUGGCCCGCGGAGACGAUCUACACACCAUCAAGUAUCUUCCCCUUAAGCUCAAAGGACUAGCCCGACACUUGCUAAACAGCCUGCCAGCAAAUUCCAUUGGCAGUUGGGAAAACCUGGAAGACGCAUUCCUCGACAACUUCCAGGGCACAUAUGUGCGACCACCUGACGCCAAUGACUUGAGCCACAUUACUCAACAGCCCGGAGAGUCAGCCAGGAAAUUCUGGACUCGGUUCCUAACUAAAAAGAACCAAAUAGUUGAUUGUCCGGACGCUGAAGCCCUGGCGGCUUUCAAGCAUAAUAUCCGUGAUGAGUGGCUCGCUCGACACCUCGGCCAGGAAAAACCCAAGUCCAAGGCAGCUCUCACAACACUAAUGACCCGCUUUUGCGCGGGCGAGGACAGUUGGUUGGCUCACAGCAGCACUACGCCACAGUCUGGCAAUUCAUAUGGCCGCGACAAUAACGGCAAGCCACGGCGUAACAGACAUAAGCGACGAAACAACGACGACGGCACUGAAGACAUGGCAGUCAACGCUGGAUUCAGUGGAUCCAAGCCCGGUCAGCGGAAGAAGCCGUUCAAAAGAAAUAAUCAGGGACCGUCUAGUCUGGACCGCAUACUGGAGUGCUCGUGCCAAAUUCAUGGCACCCCGGACAAGCCAGCCAACCACACCAAUAGAGAUUGCUGGGUAUUCAAACGGGACGGCAAGAUAAACGCCGAAGACAAGGACAAGGGGCUGCACAGCGACGAUGACGAGGAGCACCGACGUCCGAACACGGGGGGACAGAAGAAAUCCCCCCCAGGUGAAAACGGUCAACAUGAUCUAUGCCACGCACAUCCCCAAGAGGGUACAGAAGCGGGCACUAAGGGACGUCUAUGCGAUGGAGCCAGUCGCCCCCAAAUUCAAGCCAUGGUCAGCUUGUCCGAUCACGUUUGAUCGUAAGGACCAUCCCACUAGCAUCCGUCAUGGCAGCUCAGCCGCAUUGGUCUUAGACCCAAUCAUCGAUGGAUUCCACCUCACGCAAGUCCUUAUGGACGGCAGCGGCAGCCUGAACCUGCUUUAUCAGGACACAGUGCGCAAAAUGGGCAUUGACCCUUCAAGGAUUAAGCCCACUAAAACCACCUUUAAGGGUGUAAUUCCUGGAGUAGAGGCCCGCUGUACGGGCUCUAUAACACUGGAAGUGGUCUUCGGAUCCCCGGACAACUUCCGAAGCGAAGAGUUAAUCUUCGACAUCAUCCCUUUCCGCAGUGGUUACCACGCACUGCUCGGACGAACCGCAUUCGCUAGAUUCAAUGCGGUACCACAUUAUGCAUACCUCAAGGUCAAGAUGCCAGGACCGCGCGGGGUCAUCACUGUCAAUGAAAAUAUGGACCGCUCCCUUCGAACAGAAGAGCCGACUUGCCGAACUUAUAGGGGAGAGACAUCCAAGGAGGCAACGGACGUUGUGCAUAGAAGGAAAUACCCAGGUGGAAUCUAUUUACGAUCAUUAUACCUGCUUUAUCUAUCUAAACACAGCCUGCCCCUGGAUAGGACAUGUUAAAUAGUCCUAUUUUAUCUCUGCUUAACGCAUCCAUUGUAAACAUACGCUUAAACGUAUUUUUUGCCAAUGGGAGAUUAUCUAUAGCGUCAGCUUAUUAUUCUUAUUUGAGCAUUUUUUUUCUUUUAUAAAUGUUCAUUUGAUAUUGCAUCCGUACACCUUGGUGUGGUCAGUUUGCCAGGGGCUUCUCAUGGCGCCCUGUAAUAUGGCAAAUAAAGUCCGAACACGUUCAACAGUGCAGCACCCCGAACUUAUAGCUCUAUAUGCAUCAGCUCCGAAUCAUGUCUUGGGUCUACAGUUGGGAUAGCCCGACUCCCUUGUUUUGGUGCCUUACGUUCCGUUAUAUCGGCUAAGGUAGCGCAGGGAGAACUACUGCGAUUGUGUCCCGGUUCUUCCGGACGAGCACCUCAGUAGAGAAAGCCGAAAACUGACCGGCAUGAUGUGGCGAGAGCUGGUCGCUAUUCGAGAGGUUUUAAAAUCCUUAAAGAUUUUCCACUUUAGGCGAUAAAUCGGCUUCGUCCAAUCUAGGCGUGUAUAGCGCCCCGAUUCGGCCUUCCGGAUUCUAGGGGCUUUGCCGAAAUUUAAAAUUGUAGACUUCUAUGGCUAAGUGAAAGUUAUAAAGCCGCAUAGUCCUAUUGCCUUGUUCGCUGCACCGGACACCUCCUUAAGGGACCAAACAUUUGGAUAAAGAGUGUCCGGGUUUUCCACGAACACCCCAGUACUAGUUACUUGGGGGAGGAAGCCGACGACUAGCCUACUUUCAGAAUUUUAUAAAUAGCCGCACAAAAGGUAAUGUUUUAAAUAACAAAAGCGCUACAUAGCGCAAGUAACUUCGUCUUUAAUUACAAACAUGACAGAAGUGAAUUCAUUCCAAAAUGGCGUCCUUGGUACACUCAUCAGCGACGAGACGAGCACCCUUCAUCACGCCAUCGUAGUACAUUUCGGGAUGGCGAUGCGCCUUGCCCUCCAGCGGCCCGUCCUUGACCAGCUUCUCCGCAUCCAGCUUACCCCAAUGCACCUUGACGCGGGCAAAGGCUCGGCGGGCACCUUCGAUGCAAAUGAUCAGGCCAAAGUAGCUACUGGGAAGGAGUUCACCAGGCCACAUCCUGAUUAUGAAGUCCUUCAUAGCCAGUUCGGCCGCCCUGUGGAGUUCGAUCAAUUGCUUCAGUUGGUCGCUCAGAGGCAUCGGCUGAUCGGCCCCAGCAUACUGGGACCAGAACAGCUUCUCUGUUGAGCUCCCCUCCUGGGCACGGUAGAACUCUGCAGCAUCUGAGACGCUGCGUGGCAGAUCUGCAAAUGCCCCUGGAGAGCUCCGAAUCCGAGUAAGUAAAAGAAACGCCUCCUCCACAUGCUUGCUUUGCAUAAAGAAUUUCUUACCCAUUGCUAUCUUUUUGGCCUCCUGGAUCUCCUGCUGUGCUUUCUCGGCUUCGGCCUUGACAUCUUUCAAAUUUACAAGGGCCUUCGCGAGCUCGGCCUCCUUCAUCUUCAGAUCAUGCUCCACGGACUCGCACUUCUUGUCGAGGUCCAGGAGCUCUUGCUGUACCUCGCCUACCCUAGCACUUUGCUUUUCGCGCUCCUUGCAUUCCAAGGCCGCUUUGUUUUCAGCCUCGGACAACGCUUUCCUCAGGGACGCCACUUCGGCGGUGGCCCCUGUUACAUAGUCACGACGCUUUAGGCGUUAGACUGACCAAUUUUGCCUAUCUUCAAAUACAUAUGAACGGGGAAUCUCUUACAUUUAUUCUCCUCGAGCUGCCUCUUCGUGAGGCUGAGCUCUCCCUGCGCCUGCUCCAGAUCCCGCUUCAGUUUGGCGACUUUGGCAGUGCGGGCAGCAGCAGCAAGCAGCACAACCUGUUUAUGCACACGAAUGUUUAUUGUUAGACCCUUGCGGAUUAUAAUUGACCCUCCGUUUGGUUUUUCUUUCCGAACACCAAACAGAGUAUCAGGGGCUACUACCUAUCGGGUGGUAAUUUUACACAUAUUUAUUACUUACCUCAAAACCUGUCAAGAGGUUGGUGCAAGCUUCGGUUAGUCCACUCUUGGCGGACGAAACCUUCCGAAUCACCGAACUCAUAAGAGUACGGUGCUCCUCAUCUAUGGAAGCGCCGCGAAGCGCUUCCAGCAGACAAUCCAGCGCCUCGGGUGCACCGGAAGUCCUUGAUGCAGACGGCUCGCUCUCUCCGAGGAGGGGCUGCCCGCCUGAGUUCGGAACCAUUGAGGGUCCCGGGACAGUGUUCGGCUGAGAGCCCGGCCUAUUAUGGCUCUCACCGACACGAUCCGCGGGGACCUUGAACCCCGCGUGUCCGACGUCUGGGACCCCACCUUGGGGCAUCUCCAGAGUCACCUCCCCCCGCUCGGGGAGCCUUUGGGACAACACUUCCGUGUCGUCCGCAGGUUGAGGAGUAGUGGCUGUCGGAAGCGAAUUGAUCUCCGAAUCACUCAGGGAUCCGGAGGAAGACACUUCGGGGUAAGCCCUGGCCGGACUGCACAUAUGUCCGGCAUUAAACAAAAGCUAUAGAAUGAAGUUAUGAUGAAGUGCGGACACUUAGGAUCGCACCGGGGGCUUCCCUCGGGGCAGUCACCCUUCCUCACUAUAAGCGGCAGUGGCGGAGUAGUCUGGAAGGGGUACCUUCCCCUUCUUGGACGCCCCAGCCUCCCCCUCCGGGGAGGCUUUUCUCUUCUUCUCCCCCCAGUGCGGGGAGGUGGAAUUUCUUCUUGAUUCCCCCCGCCUCCGCGGGAGGGAUCUAUCUCAUCGUCAUCAGACGACAAGGGUAUAACGGCCUUGCGCCGAGGGCCUUUCCCGGCCCCCUGGCCCGCCUCUCCGGGCCCCUCAUCCUUUCCGGAUGGGGCGUAUUCUUCUUCUUCCUCCUCCCCUUCGUGGGAGGAGUCUGCCUCGUCGUCUUCGGAUGAGGCUUCGGACGCAACCUUACGCCGGAGACCCUUCCUGGUCCCCGGGGCCUUCUUUUCGGCCUUCUUCUCCGGCACCUUGUAGGGCGCCGGGACUAGCAUCUUCGUCAGGAGAGCAUCAGCUGGAUCUUCUGUCAAUGGAGCUGGACAGUCAAUCCGCUCCGCUGUCUUCACAUAAUCCUGAGGCAAAUAUACACAAAUACUUAAGACUCCCCCAUGAAUGUAUUGGGAAAAACCGAACCCGGUGGUAGUCCCAAAACUCACCAGACGCGGGGGCCGUGUUGCAUGAAGUCCGCGGUCCUCGGAUGUGGGAGGAGGUAUUUCGGAGGCCUUAAACAACUCCUUCCACGCGUCUUUGUGCUUCAUACCAUAGAGCCUCUGAAGCAUCUAGUGUUCGGUCGGGAUGAACUCCCACAGAUUGAAUGCCCGCCUUUGGCACGGCAAAAUCCGGCGAACGAGCAUGACCUGGAUCACGUUGACAAGCUUGAUGUUCUUGUCCUUCAUGCUCUUGAUGCAGGUUUGGAGUCCGGCCAGCUUUGUAGGUUCACCCCAAGUCAGGCCCUUCUUUUCCCAGGUGGUGAGCCGCAUGGGGGCUCCGGAUCGAAACUCGAGGGCCGCCACCCAGUUGGCGCCACGCGGCUUGGUGAUGUAGUACCACCCCGAUUGCAACCCUUUUACGGUCUCCUCAAAGGAGCCAUCCAGCCAGGUGACGUUAGGCAUCUUGCCCACCAUGGCCCCUCCGCACUCCGCUUGCUGGCCGCGUACAAUCUUUGGCUUCAUGCAGAAGAUUUGCAGCCACAGGCUGAAGUGAGGCCGGAUGCGGAGGAAAGCCUCGCAUACGAAGAUGAACGCCGAGAUGUUGAGGAUGAAAUUUGGGGCUAGAUUGUAGAAAUCUAGCCAGUAGUAGAACAUGAGCCCGCGGACGAAGGGGUGAAGUGGAAACCCCAGUCCACGGACGAAGUGGGCGACGAACACGACCCUCUCGUGGGAUCCCGGGGUCGGGAUGACCUGCCCAGCGUCCGGUAGCCGGUGCGCUAUGUCUGCAGCCAAGUAUCUGGCCGCCCAAAGAUUUGCUAUGUGCUUCUCCUUGACGGUGGAAGCCACCCACUUGCCUCCUGCUCCGGACAUGUUUAGCUGUGCGGAGAAGACUUGGGCUUGGGCGCUGGAGCUCGAGGGGGCAAGAGUGGGCAAAGGAGGAAGAAGGCAUGGGUAAAAAUGGGGAAAUCUUAUCCCUUUAUAGAGGCGACAAAAGCGGUGCACCUUCCCACUUGCCUGUUGGAAAUCGCUUGCUUCCCAAGCGCCACGAUUGAUGAUGUGGUGGGAUUACCCAUACCCGUAUUGAUGAGAAUCCCGUGAUAGGGGGACACGAUCUCUGCUUCAACAAGACGUGUCAAAGAAACCGCCUCGCGAUGUGCGCUAUGGCUAAUUGUGGGAAAAGGGUUCGAAUAAUGACCCGACCGUAAUGACACGUCGCAUUGCCUAAAAAGUUGUCAACAGAUUGCAUUUGUGAAAUACCAUUCUCUCUACGGUGGCAUGUGAAGAUCAUUUUGUAGAUCCAGACACGGUUCAAGUGUUCAGUAAUUACCUUGGAGUAUUCGGAGGAGGAACCCGCCCUGUAAUGCCGAAGACAAGACUGCGCGUCGGACUCAUCAUCAUUGAAGCCUGGUUCACGGGCUACUGAGGGAGUCCUGGAUUAGGGGGUAUCCGGACAGCCGGACUGUGUAUAACGUCCGGACUAUUGAAGCGUGAAGAUACAAGACUCAAGACUUCGGCCCGUGUCUGGAUGGGACUCUCCUUUGCGUGGAAGGCAAUCUUGGCGAUCCGGAUAUUAUAUUCCCUUCCUUGUAACCGACUCCAUGUAAACCCUAGCCUUCUCCGGUGUCUAUAUAAACCGGAGAGGUUGGUCCUUAGAAGGCCGAUCACAAUUACAUUCAUACCAUCAUAGGCUAGCUCUUAGGGUUUAGCCUCUACGAUCUCGUGGUAGAUCUACUCUUGUACUACCCAUAUCAUCAAUAUUAAUCAAGCAGGAAGUAGGGUUUUACCUCCAUCGAGAGGGCCCGAACCUGGGUAAACAUCUGUGUCCCCCUACCCGAGAUCCCCCUGUUACCAUCGGCCUUGACACACAGAUCAGGACCCCCUACCCGAGAUCCGCCGGUUUUGACACCGCCACUGCCACAGACAGAGUGCCCGAACCAUCCACCACUACACCCCUCGCCACCCGGACAGUCAAGAAACAUAACCACCACUGCCGCCAUGGAGUCUGCCGGAAAGCCACCAUACAGACCACUGUCCAGAACCGCCGCCUCAGCAUCCAUGUCCCGAGUCAUCGGCAACUAUCGACAUUAUAACGCACAACCACGGUGGGAGGAGUGGAAGGGGCAUCUUUCCGCUACUAGCUCGUCAUCAGCCACAUGGCCUGGGUGAUCGCCUCAAUGGUAGGAGGCGUCCACGCCUGCGUCCCGGGUCAGUCCCCGUGGAACAUGGGCAACAAGGCCUUGUGACUACUGAUGACCACUGUCGAGCAAGCCCCAGCACUGGUCCCUGACCUUUGCCCGAGUCAAACUCGCACGCCGGCACACCCUUGACCAUCGACGUCGAUCUGACCUACAACAUAGCAUCAACACGGGCGCAUACUCGGACUGAUCCCGCAAUGGAGCAGCCAGGAAGGAGGGCACUAACGUGAUGUCAUACCAGCGAACUAGGUCGGCCCCCUGCACCUGCACUCCAUCGGAUGCCAUCCAUCACCGCAAAACAGAUUUGUGUCGCCCCAACACUGUCUGCCAGUGACACAGAUCCCUGCCGCAAGCGAGCAGUGGGCCGCCCCGCACCCACCCGGAGGAGCUCGGGUAGCUCCACCACGCCAGGCCCUGUCCAGACCGCACCAGAUCCACGUCGCCAACAAGACCCUAGCCACCGUGGUCGCCCACACAUGGCGCCAGCCGAACUGGCGCACCUCAUCGAGGGCCCUGAUACGUCUCCAACGUAUCUAUAAUUUUUGAUCGUUCCAUGCUAUUUUAUUAUCAAUCUUGGAUGUUUUAUAAUCAUUUUAUAGUCAUUUUAUAUCUUUUUUGGUACUAACCUAUUGACAUAGUGCCAAGUGCUAGUUGAUGUUUUUUCCAUGUUUUUUACAUCGCAAGAAAUCAAUAUCAAACGGAGUCCAAAUGCCACGAAACUUCACGAUGAUUUUUUAUGGGCCAAAAGGAAUCGGAUGGGCCCUGGUUGCACCUGGGGGAGUCCCGAGGAGGGGACAACCCACCAGGGAACGCCAGGAGGCCCUGGCGCGCCCUCGUCGGUUGUGGCCACCUCAGAUACCCCCCAGACCGCCUCUUUGCGCUAUAAAUACCCAAAUAUUCUAGAAACCCUAGGGAAGUCGACGAAAUAUUCAUCCAGCCGCCGCAGAGUCCAGAACCACCAGAUCCAAUCUAGAAUCCAUCUCGGAUGGGGUUCACCACCUCCAUUGUUGCCUCUACGAUGAUGCGUGAGUAGUUCUUUGUAGACCUUCGGGUCCGUAGUUAGUAGCUAGAUGGCUUUAUCUCCCUCUCUCUCUCUCUCUCUCUCUCUCGCUGAAUUGUCAAUACAAUGGUCUCUUGGAGAUCCAUAUGAUGUAACUCUUUUGCGAUGUGUUUGUUGGGUUCUGAUGAACUUCGAGUUUAUGAUCAGUUAUAUCUUUUUAUAUCCAUGAAAGUUAUUUGAGUUUCUUUGAUCUCUUAUAUGCAUGAUCUCUUAUAGCCUCGUAUUUCUUCUCCGAUAUUUGGGUUUUGUUUGGCUAACUUGAUCUAUUUAUCUUGCAAUGGGAAGAGGUGCUCGGUAGUGGGUUUGAUCUUACGGUGCUCGGUCCUAGUGACAGAAAGGGAAACGACAUGUAUGUAUCGUUCCUACUAAGGAUAAAAAGACAAGAUCUAUAUCUACCGCCAUAUAGAUAAACGGAUCUUGUCUACAUCAUGUCAUCGUUCUUAUUGCAUUACUCUGUUUUCCAUGAACUUAAUACACUAGAUGAAUGCUGGAUAGCGGUCGAUGUGUGGAGUAAUAGUAGUAGAUGCAGGCAGGAGUUGGUCUACUAAUCUUGGACGUGAUGCCUAUGUAAUGAUCAUUGCGUGGAUAUCUUCAUAAUUAUUUGAAGUUCUAUCAAUUUCUCAACAGUAAUUUGUUUACCCUCCGUUUGCUAUUUUUCUCAAGAGAAGCCACUAGUGAAACCUACGGCCCCCGGGUCUUCUUUCUCAUAUAUUUGCCCUGCGAUCUACUUUUCCUUGGCUUUUUCAGAUCUAUCAAACAAAAAAAAUACAAAAAUACCUUGCUGUGUUUUAUCUUUAUUUAUUCUAUUUGGCGUUUGAUCUAUCAAUCUUCUACAAUUUACCUCACGUCCGCUUGCCUAUCUUGAGGCGUCGUACCCCGAAAGGGAUUGACAUCCCCUUUAACUCGUCGGGUUGCGAGGUGUUGUUGUUUGUGUGCAGGGGCUGUUUACGUUGUGUUGCUUGGUUCUCCUACUGGUUCGAUACCUUGGUUUCAUAACUGAGGAAAAUACCUACCAUCGUUGUGCUACAUCAUCCCUCCCUCUCCGGGGAAAUACCGACGUAGUUGCAGCUGUCAUCAAGGAGAAUUUCUGGCGCCGUUGCCGGGGAGGAUCUUCAACAUAAACAAGUUCCUAAUCAUAAAUCCCAUCUCCUUGCAAUUCACAUUAUUUUCCAUUUGCCUCUCGUUUUCCUCUCCCCCACUUCAUAAAAAUUUGUCGUUUUAUUCGCCUGUGUUUUUCCGUUCGUCAUCUUCUUGUCAGAUCUAUUAUUUGCUUGCAAUCAUGAGUGAUUUCGGUAUGGCACCAACAGAUGGUGGCCUGACUCUUAAGAUUGGACGUACAGGCAAUUUGGAUGCUAAAACUUUUAUCUUGGGGCAAGGGAACAUUAUGGGAAAAGAACCUAUCCAAGAAUUUUUCAAUUGUGUUGGAAAUCUAAGUCUUGAUGAUGCUCCAAUACUUAAAACUACUAGAUAUUAUGCGGAUGCUAUUUCAGCACAAGUUCUGAAACUUGAAAGUAAAUUUAUUCGUACCCAUACUACUUUGCAAAUAUUGUUUUUUGAGCUCCCCGAUAUAAAGAAUCCUAGGGCUAAAAAGUUGGCCACUCUUGUUCUUAUGAACGAGUUUGACUACAUAAUUCAGGAAGCUAGGGAAAUCUUUGACUUUUAUGGUAUGAAUCGUGAAAAACCCGUGAUUGAUGAAAUUCUUUACAAUAGUGACCAUGAAUUAAGGCAUUUGCUUGGGGACAAUAAGUUCAUUGAUGAGAAUCUUAAAAAGGAGGUCCCCGUUCUAGAUAUAAUCCAACAAGUUUUUAAUAAUGUUAAUCAACACUAUUCUUGGAUUGUAGCGGGAAAUCAGAGGGGUUAUGAUGAAAAUCAACUAAGGAAUGCUAAAGUUUCUAUGGAUAAUAUGUUUUAUGUUGUGUUUACAAAACCUCCUGAUAAAAAUACCCCCAAGAAAAUUAAGAAGAAGAAAGAUGACAAAACUUAGAUCCUUACUUUAUGCCUAGGUAAGCGCGUAAAACUAUAGCGCUUGUUGGGAGGCAACCCAAUGAAUAAAAUUUAUUUUUGCUUGUUGCUUUCUGUUCUUGAGUGUUAGAACAAUUAUGCUACUGUUAUGAUUGUGUUUUUUAUAUUUUAAUUAGUGUUUGUGCCAAGUAGAACCAAUAGGAUCUUCUUGGGUGAUAGUUGUUUAAUCUUGCUGAAAAAGACAGAAACUUUGUGCUCACGAAAAUAAUUGUCAAAAUUCACCGGAACAUGAUAAAAUGCUAAUUCUUUUUGCAAAGGAUCAAUAUACAAAUUAUCUAGGUUGUCCUAGUUUUUCAGAAUUUGUGGAGUUCCAUAAGUAUUCGAACAAAUCAGAUUGCUACAGACUGUUCUGUUUUGACAUAUUCUGUUUUCUUUGUGUUGUGUGUUUAUUUUGAUGGCUCUAUAGUUUUCUUUGAUGAGUUUUUGCCAUAGAAAAGUUGGAAUACUGUAGAUAUAAUACAAAAACAAAAUAAUAAUUGGUUUGAUACAGCACUUAUAGUAGUGGUUUAUUUUUCUUACACUAACGGAUCUCACGAAGGUUUUGUUGAGUUUUGUGUGAUUAAAGUUUUCAAGUUUUGGGUUAUCUUACGAUGGAUGAAGGAAGGAUGUAAGAGCCUAAGAUUGGGGAUGCCCCGGCAUCCCAAGCUAUUAUUCCAACAAUGAGCAACAACCAAUCUUGGGAAUGCCCCCGAGUGGCAUCCCGCUUUCUUCCAACAACUAUCGGUAUUUUACUCGAGGCUAUAUUUUUAUUCGUCACAUGAUAUGUAUUUUGCUUGGAGCGUCUUGUAUGAUAUGUGUCUUUGCUUGUUUUAUUUUGUGUUUUAAGUCAUGAAUCCUUUCUGAACACACCUAUUUGAGAGAGCCAAAAUUAUAUCAUGACUUGUUAGAUUUGCUCUCUAUGCUUCACUUAAAUCUUUUAUGAGCUAGGACUUGCUCUAGUGCUUCACUUAUAUCUUUUUGGGCACGGUGUGCUUUGUUAUUUUUGAAGAAAUGCUCUCUUGCUUCACUUAUAUUUAUUUGAGAGUUAGUAAAAUUUUGAAGAAAUUCUCUCUUACUUCACUUAAAUUAUUUUGAGAGAAAGAAAAUUUGUUAUGCUCAUGAUCUUCACUUAUAUUUGUUUGAGCUUAUGAAAAGCAACACAUGAAAAUUAGUCCCAAAGUGAUAGAUAUCCAAGAAGGAUAAAGUAAAAGAAAAUUUCAUGAAGAUCAUUGGACAAAAUAAACUUGAUUCUUAGUAAUAGUUUUGAGAUAUGAUGAUGUGAUAUGUGAGUUAUGUUGAUGAGUAAUUGUGCUCUAGUAAGAAUAUUGGUGUUAAGGUUUGUGAUUCCCUAUGCAUGCACGAAAGUCAAUAAUCAUGCAAUGAAAAUUAUAUCCUACUUGUGGUGCAUUAUUCGGUGUUAAUUAUGCUUAAUGCUUGCUUAUGAGAUUAUUCAUUUCUUGGUUGGUCGCUUUCCAAUCUUUUGCUAGCCUUCAUUUUGCACUAAGUAUGAUCUCUACUUGUGCAUCCAAAAUCCUUUAAACCAGUUUUGCCACAUGAGUCCACUAUAUCUACCUAUAUGCGGUAUUAUUUUUCCGUUCUAAGCAAAUUUGCAUGUGCCGUCUCUAAUUUUCAAAAUAAACUUCUCUUUUGUGUGUUUGUUUCGCUCACGGAACGGUAACAGGUGGCUAAUAUUUUUCCAUGCUGGAUGUGUUUUUCUCACGGAACCGGGACUAAAGGGCGCGGCCACCAACCGGGACUAAAGGAAAUUUUAUGAUUUUUUUUGAAAAAAAAAUUUGAAUUUUUUUUGAUUUUCAAAUUUCUGAAUUAUUUUAACCUCUAGUCUGUAAUCACCACCCCUCAUCACUUCUCAAUUUAUUCUCUAAUCACCCCUCAUCAUUCCAAAUCAUCUAACUUCCCGAACGGUCACCCAUCCUCCCACUCCCCCAGCCUAAAAUCCUUUAAACCAGUUUUGCCACAUGAGUCCACUAUAUCUACCUAUAUGCGGUAUUAUUUUUCCGUUCUAAGCAAAUUUGCAUGUGCCGUCUCUAAUUUUCAAAAUAAACUUCUCUUUUGUGUGUUUGUUUCGCUCACGGAACGGUAACAGGUGGCUAAUAUUUUUCCAUGCUGGAUGUGUUUUUCUCAAGAUGAGUGUUUAUUCACUUGUCAUUGCACGAGAGUAAGGCAAUGGUCUUAGGGAUGCCUAGUCCCGAAAUGCAAAAAAAAAUUACUUUAUGUUGUCAAAUAAUAAAUUCCUUGGAAAGUGUUGGUAUGGAGCACUAGUAGAAAAAGGGCCUUCAGUCCCGGUUCAUAAGGGCCUUUAGUCCCGGUUCUGGAACCAGGACUAAAGGGUCGGUACUAAUGCCUAUCCCUUUAGUCCCGGUUCAAUCCAGAACCGGGACUAAAGGGCGCGGCCACCAACCGGGACUAAAGGAAAUUUUAUGAUUUUUUUUGAAAAAAAAAUUUGAAUUUUUUUUUAUUUUCAAAUUUCUGAAUUAUUUUAACCUCUAGUCUGUAAUCACCACCCCUCAUCACUUCUCAAUUUAUUCUCUAAUCACCCCUCAUCAUUCCAAAUCAUCUAACUUCCCGAACGGUCACCCAUCCUCCCACUCCCCCAGCCUAAGCACGCUUAACUUCCAGGUUCUAUUCUCCCUCGCUCCAAGUCUGCACUUGUUGUUUUCCUGACAAUACUAAGAUGUCAAUCCUAUUAACCUUUAGGAAUUUUGCUUGAGCAUGAAAUGACGCAUUUCAUAGUUUUAUUUUGAAACUAUUGUUUUAAAAAACAAUAAUUAUUUAGUAACACUAAUAUUUCUUGAAUAAUUAGUUUGACCAUUGUUUGACCACAGUUUGACCAGAUUUGACCAAAAUUGAAAUAACUGAAAUAAUUAUUUAGUAACAUAAUAUUCUAGAAUAAUUAGUUUGACCAUUGUUUGACCACAAUUUGCCCACUGUUUGAAUUUUUUUAUUUUUUUCACUCUAGAUCUUAAAAGCCCCGUAACUUUUUUUCUAAUAGGUUUUUGAGGAUUUUGAAAAUGUUUAACGCGGUUCCCCCGAUUAAAUUCGGAUGUAACUUUUCGAGUAGAUGAUUUUUCAUAUAAAAAACUUUUUCAUCCGAGUUAGUAUGCAAAAGUUAUGCCCAUUUUUACAAAUUUCAGAGAGAUUUUGCAAAUAAAGUCAAAAUUCACAUUUGCAAAUUUUCCCAACAACUAGACCACAUAUCACAUGGGAAACUUAAUUUCUUUUAUUUUUUUGACAUUUCCAUCAUUUUCUUUUAUUUUUUAAACUGAAAAGGCGAUCCACCAGGGGGGUAGAGUUUGAAAAUGGGACCUUUAGUACCGGUUCGUGGCACGAACCGGGACUAAAGGUCUCAACCCCAUUAGUUCCGGUUCGUGCCUCAAACCGGGACUAAAUGCCUAAUCUUUAGUCCCGGUUUGAGGCACGAACUGGGACCAAUGGUCGUGGGCCAAGAGCGAGGCCCAUUGGUCCCGGUUCAUCCCACCAACCGGGACCAAAAGGUCCAGAUGAACCGGGACCAAUGGCCCAUGUGGCCCGGCCGGCCCCCUGGGCUCACGAACCGGGACCAAUGCCCCCAUUGGUCCCGGUUCUGGACUGAACCGGGACUAAUGGGCUGACCCGGCCUGGACCAAAGCCCUGUUUUCUACUAGUGGAGGGCACCUGUGGAUACGGUUAGCCAUGGAAAGUAAAAGUAUGGUGAAAAAAGAAAUAAACUUUAUUUUCUAUUUGAGAACCACCUAUGGCAUAUCUAGCAUGGAAAGUGUUGGGAACUCUAAGUCGUUUUCGUUGGUGGGAUGGAUACACCUCCCAAAAUGUUUUUAUCUCUAAUCUUUUUGCUUUGUUCUCUGGCACCUCUACAAAUCCCUACUUCCCUCUGCGAAGGGGCCUCUCUUUUACUUUAUGCAAUUUUUAUUUUGAAAUUUGAGUCUCCAUCUUCUCUCAUAAAAAGCACCAACUAGGAGGCAAUAUUAUCGUGCUCAAGUAUUAGGUAGAGUUAAUAUUCGAGUGUGUUUCAUGAAUGGAUCAAUAUUUGAGCAUGAUGGGCUAGGGAUAACUUAUUUUAGCGUUGAUAUUUUGAAAGACAUGGUUGCUUGUUGAUAUGCUUAAGUAUCUAAAUUAUUAUGUCAAAACUAGACUAUUGCUUUGAGUCACAUAAAAGUCCAAAUGUCCAUGCUAUAAAGAAAAGAAUGUGAUAUGACUUGAUGAAAAAUACUCCACAUCAAAAAUUCUGUUUUUAUCACUUACCUACUCGAGGACGAGUAGGAGUUAAGCUUGGGGAUGCUGAUACGUCUCCAACGUAUCUAUAAUUUUUGAUUGUUCCAUGUUGUUUUAUUAUCAAUCUUGGAUGUUUUAUAAUCAUUUUAUUGUCAUUUUAUAUCUUUUUUUGAUACUAACCUAUUGACAUAGUGCCAAGUGCCAGUUGCUGUUUUUUCCAUGUUUUUUACAUAGCAGGAAAUCAAUAUCAAACGGAGUCCAAAUGCCACGGAACUUCACGAUGAUUUUUUAUGGGUCAAAAGGAAGCAGAUGGGCCCUAGUUGCACCUGGGGGAGUCUCGAGGAGGGGACAACCCACCAGGGCGCGCCAUGCCCACCUCGGGUACCCCCCGGACCGCCUCUUUGCUAUAUAAAUACCCAAAUAUUCCAGAAACCCUAGGGGAGUCGACGAAAUAUUUAUCCAGCCGCCGCAAAGUCCAGAACCACCAGAUCCAAUCUAGACACCACCUCGGAUGGGGUUUACCACCUUCAUUGGUGCCUCUCCGAUGAUGCGUGAGUAGUUCUUUUAGACCUUCGGGUCCGUAGUUAGUAGCUAGAUGGAUUUCUCUUUCUCUCUGUCUCACUGAAUUCUCAAUAGAAUGGUCUCUUGGAGAUCCAUAUGAUGUAACUCUUUUGCGGUGUGUUUGUUGGGAUUUGAUGAACUUCGAGUUUAUGUUCAGUUAUAUCUUUUUAUAUCCAUGAAAGUUAUUUGAGUUUCUUUGAUCUCUUAUAACCUCGUAUUUCUUCUCCAAUAUUUGGGUUUUGUUUGGCCAACUUGAUCUAUUUAUCUUGCAAUGGGAUGAGGUGCCCGCUAGUGGGUUCGAUCUUACGGUGCUCGAUCCUAGUGACAGAAAGGGAAACGACAUGUAUGUAUCAUUGUACUAAGGAUAGAAAGACGAGAUCUAUAUCUACCGCCAUAUACAUAAACAGAUCUUGUCUACAUCAUGUCAUCGUUCUUAUUGCAUUACUCCGUUUUUUCCAUGAACUUAAUACACUAGAUGCAUGCUGGAUAGUGGUCGAUAUGUGGAGUAAUAGUAGUAGAUGCAGGCAGGAGUCAGUCUACUAAUCUUAGACGUGAUGCCUAUGUAAUGAUCAUUGCCUGGAUAUUGUCAUAACUAUUUGAAAUUCUAUCAAUUGCCCAACAGUAAUUUGUUUACCCACCGUUUGGUAUUUUUCUCGAGAGAAGCCACUAGUAAAACCUACGGCCUCCGGGUCUUCUUUCUCAUAUAUUUUCCUCGCGAUCUACUUUUCCUUUGCAUUUUUAUUCAGAUCUAUUAAACCAAAAAAACAAAAAUACCUUGCUGCGCUUUAUCUUUAUUUAUUCUAUUUGGCGUUCGAUCUAUCAAUCUACUACAGUUUACCUCACGUCCGCUUGCCUAUCUUGAGGCGCGUACCCCGGAAGGGAUUGACAACCCCUUUAAAUCGUCGGGUUGCGAGGUGUUGUUGUUUGUGUGCAAGGGUUGUUUACGUUGUGUUGCUUGGUUCUCCUACUGGUUCGAUACCUUGGUUUCAUAAAUGAGGAAAAUACCUACCUUCGCUGUGCUACAUCAUCCCUCCCUCUCCGGGGAAAUACCGACGUAGUUGCAGUUGCCAUCGGUCCCCCGCCCAUCAGCGAACGAGUCGGGCCACCAAACCACCCCCACGCCGCUCGUCGCACCCUGGCCACAGAGCUGGCCAGAUCUGGCUGGAAGCCGAUCCGCACGCCUCCACCAGAGGGCCUUGACCUCACAGCCGCCACACCGCGCCUGAGCACCCGGACGUCACCGCACCGCCGAGCAGUGGGACACCGCCGCCAAGAAACCCGUCGCUGCGCCAUUAGACCCCACGACAGCCCAAUGCUCGGAGGGGCAGUCCCGCGCCGACCCCGAAGCCGAGUGGGAGGGAGCAAGGCCCUGCCGGCACCGAUGCCGGCCAGGCUUUGCCUGGCGGUGGCAGGGGAGGACGACCGUGAGGAGGGGGCAAAAGGCGCCGCGCUAGGGUUAGACAUAAGACAAACUUAGGUGGCCUAUUUUUGUGGGAAGGAGGGAGUAUGAAACUGGCAGGUCACCUAAAGUAUGUGGGACACUUGGAUUUUCUUUUGAGAAUUUCGAAUACUUAUGUGCACUAGUUAAUGUAUACGUGCAAUGCACUUUAAUUUAGAAGUAUAUUAAGUGCAUGUGGAUAUUAAGUAGGAUAUUAUUUGCGUGUUAUUAAACUUGUUGAGCGCUCGACGUUGAAGCAGUCUAGGUCGUUGGAUUGACAUGAUUUGAUGGCCGAGAUUAAUUGGAUCUGCCCCUUUGGAUCUUUUUAUAUUGAUAGAUGUUCCUUUUAUUUUUUAAUUGAAAAUAUGAUGUCAGUAUUUUGUAUACUUCUGCAGGACUUAUAAACUCACAACUCUUAUUUUAAUAAGCUUGUUAGUACAUGGUUCGUGAGAACACCAUUUUAUUACGAGCUGAUGCAUCCACUGUAUUCUUGGAUGCUUUAUUCUUGCGGUUCCAAAUCAGCUUUAACAAACUUGUUCCAGCCUAGAGAUAGGAUUCCUCCUGUCCCCUGUUGUGAACAUAAGUAUAUAAUAUGAAAUUCUCUGAUGCUUAGCUUACCAUUGCACUAUGAUUUCUUAUAUUGAUAUUGGCAUUUAACGAAGCUAGUCUUUUUUAACUUUAGCAUAGCAUAGUGUCUGCUGCUCAUGACAUCACCAGGAAGAAGCAGAAGCAUCUUUUAUGCCGUCGUAGCUGCUACAAAAAUGGCAUGCAUAUCAUCGCUGAAAUAAUGCAAAGAAAAACUAACUAAUUACUGUUAAUGUUGCGUUCGGAUUCUGUGGAAGAUAACAUGACGUAAUUGAGCAAUGAUGCCGAGAUUGUUGGUUGUGUUGACGUAUAAAUGUUAAUGUUACAUCAGAUCGGUUUUUUAGUUUCAUUGGCUAGAGCAUGCACUUCUACAGGUUGUCCGAUGGUCUAUUCAUUACUAUUUUCAAAUCAUGAGGUAAUAUAGUUUGAGUCACUUACCACUUUGCUAGUUUAGUUUUUGAGAAAUGACAGAGAGGUGUCAUCUUGGUGAAGAUGAGUAGCUUCAUUUCGUAGUGUUCAAUGUAUCCAGCCUAGUUCCACGGUGUAACUGACCCUGCCACUCUAGAAGCUCUUGCAUGCUGAGAAGCCUUAGCUUUGGCGGCUGAUCUUAGAGCAACUCUAGCAGACCCCGCAUUCGGCGCAAAUCCACAUAAUUCCGGCGAUUAUACGGACUCGGCCCAUUUUUCUGGCCAAACUAGAGCCCGUAUCGGUGUCCGGCCCGUAAAUUCUUUUGCCGCAGCCCGCAAACGUAACCCCCAAGCCACUAUAACUGCGGGUUUGCGGGGCAGAUGCGGGUCGAAACCCUAUCCACCCGCCGCCGCGUUCCCCUCCAAUUCCCCACCGCGCCGCUCGAUUUCUCGCCACCGGCGAGCCUUGAACCACCAUGGCCGACUCGGGGGAUGAGGCGGAGCGCCGCCGCCGCUUCAGGUCUGACGCCGCGCGCAAACGGGGGGCGCGUCGGUGGCUCAACUAGGGUGCCCGGCCGCCGCCGGCAUUCGACCGGCGCGAUCUCGACGAGUUCGAGCUCGAGCGCGCCCGUCGCCACCGCGCCUCCUCCGAUAACUGGUCCGCGGGGAGCUCAUCCGGCCACUGGUCCGCGGGGAGCUCAUCCGGCCACUGGUCUGCGGGGAGCUCAUCCGCGGGCGCAUCGAGCUCGCGGCUCGUUCCGGUGAAGAGGGAGCCGGAGGAGGCCGUGCCCGAUGCGCCGCCGCGCCGAGGCGUCAUCAGACCGGAGGACUACCUCCCACCGGGGCAGGAGGAGCUCCUCGAGCGCGUCGUCCUCGAGCGGUCGGCGAGGGAGCUGCAAGAGAUGGAAGAGCGCAUCCGGCGCGAGCUCGAGUACAAGCAACUCUUCCUCAAUUCGGACCUCACGACAUCGCAGGCGCAGGCAUCGAAGGAGGCCGACCUGCGCGUGAUGAAGGAGGAGCAGGCGAAGCUCUUCGUCGACCUCGGCUCCGACUCCUCCGACUCCGACUAAUCGCCGCCGGUGGGCAGCUAUCGCAGGAGCUCAGGUGAGCUCAAUUUUGUUGCAGUGAUGCGGUAGCGUAGGCCCUGUCUAGCAUAUCUAACCUCUAUGUAUGUAUGUGGCGUGUAUGAACUUAUUUGCCAAGAAGAAACAUGUAUGCGAGCGAGCUCCGGCGAGCUGUUGUUUAAAUUUCUCACGCGAAACAACUUUUUUGAAAUUUAGGGGUCCGUUUGCGGUUUCUAGUCUGCCGCCGCAAUUUUUGGCCUGCAUAAUUGCCCCCGUGCGACCUACAAAUACAUUUUACGGAUCGGCAAAAUGCGAGGUCUGCUAGAGUUGCUCUUAGCUUUGGUGGCCGAUCUCUUCACUCCAACAUCUGGAAGUUGCGGCGGAUUGCAAGGAAGUGACGAAGGACAUCAAGGACGGAACAGGUGGGCUACGUGGGAAUAUUAUCCGGGAGAUUACAUCUUCACUUUCGGAGUUUCUUUUUCACUUUCGGAGUUUCAGUCCUGCACUUUCUCCUUCGAAGCGAUGGCAACAAAUUCCGAGGCACACGGCCUCACUAACAUGCUCUUGGACUUACUAGGAAAGACAUAUUUGGCUGUUGCAGCCUCCUGCUAUUGGUUGCAUUAAGAUGAAUAUUAUCAUUGAUUAAUAAAGAGGGUGUGUUUAGACUAAAAAACUAGUUAAAGGGUACGUCUUGUUUGUCGGGCCAGCCCAAAGCGCUCGAGCAUGGGCGCCAGUUUGGCUAGGCAGCGCUAAGACUAGCCAUAAUGGGUAAUAACAUAGAGUAGUAACAUGCAUAUGUUACUACUCUAUGUUACUAUCUCCAUAGUAUGUAGUAACUUAGAGGUGGUAACAUGAAGGUUGCCAUUUAUUGUUUUGUGGGAUCUAUAGUAGUACUUUAACUUUGUGAUCUAUAUGAGGUCCAAAAUUAUAAGGAUGCAUUGGAGAGAAUUGUCCAAAACUUAGCAAGCCUUCAGAUGCAGGGGUGUACAUUGGCCUCCUGUUACAAAUAUGAGGUUAUGUUCAGAUCCACAUUCUAUGAAUACAAAGCUUGGGAUUUUGGAACGGGACAAUUCGCUUGAAGCCACUGAAUAUAUAGCUUUUGAGGACUUUGGUUUAGAAGCCUAAAGUAUGUUCCAAUCAUAAACAGUUUUCAUUCCAAAAAGGAUUUCAAACUACAGCUCAUGUAUUCUCUGAAGAAAGGUUUGAAACAAUUCAUUUUAAGAAAAAAUAAUCUGUAGUUAUCACAAUUUAAUAGAUUGUCUGAAUUAAUCCAUAGCAAUUUCCUUGCAUGUAUUCAGGCUACCUUAACACACGCUGAAUCAGACUUACAAAUUCAGACUUAGAUGUUAGUAAAGACUUGGCAGUACAAACAUUACCUACUGCUGUUUUAUUAAGAUGGAUAUAAUCCUACUAACUACAGUAGAGGGAUGUGAGUACAGACUUGGCACUCGGCAGUAUAGAAAUUCCCUGAACAACUACACACGCUGAAUCAGGUAUUCUAGAUCCUGAACACAAAACAUAAAUUAUCUAAUGCUGCAAAUUUGAGCUGAAGAAAUUGCAAUUGCUGAAGAUUGAACUGAAACCAGAAAUUUAUACCAUGUAGGGUUUGCAGUAGAGGAAUCUAUGAGAGAGGGGUACAGGUGCGGCGGUGUCGACGGACUGGUGGACGAGCUAGUCGGAGCGCCGGCGUAGAAGAGCGGCUGUGGCGAGCGGCUGGCGUCACGAGCCUGCCGGGACGCGCUGACCGGGCUGGUGCCGCCUUCUUACAGGCACCAGACUUGGCCAUGAUUCCGGUGGCUUCGCCCCGCCCGCCAGAGCCGCCUCCGGCCGGCGAGAGGGAGUGCGGGACAGGGGGAUCGAGGCGGCAGGGGAGGGAGAGGAUGAAGGUGCAGCCGUGGAGAAGGGAAAGGAGAUUUUUC
This 31767-nucleotide long non-coding RNA is filed under the name Triticum aestivum (bread wheat). Its description in RNAcentral is "long non-coding RNA (TAES_LNC015121)". Lineage: Eukaryota; Viridiplantae; Streptophyta; Magnoliopsida; Poales; Poaceae. The record is from RNAcentral.